GCCAGGCAUGGUGGCGCGUGCCUAUAGUUCCAGCUACUCGGGAGGCUGAGGUGGGAGGAUUGCUUGAGCCCAGGAGUUCUGGGCUGCAGUGUGCUAUGCCGAUCGGGUGUCCGCACUGUUUGGCAUCAAUAUGGUGACCUCCUGGGAGCAGGGGACCACCAGGUUGCCCAAGGAGGUCAGAAACAGAGCAGGUCAAAACUCCCGUGCUGAUCAGAGGUGGGAUUGCACCUGUGAAUAGCCACUACCCUCCAGCCUUGGCAACAUAGCGAGAUCCGUCUCU
Molecule: signal recognition particle RNA, 280 nt
Filed under: Saimiri boliviensis boliviensis (Bolivian squirrel monkey)
Lineage: Eukaryota; Metazoa; Chordata; Mammalia; Primates; Cebidae
Description: Metazoan signal recognition particle RNA (ENSSBOG00000009008.1)
Rfam family: Metazoan signal recognition particle RNA
About the family: The signal recognition particle (SRP) is a universally conserved ribonucleoprotein.
Source: RNAcentral